GCGGUAACAGGCGUAGCAAUACGUGCUGACGAGCGGCGAACGGGUGCGUAAUACAUGGGAAUCAGCCCUUCAGUGGGGAAUAACCCGGCGAAAGCCGGGCUAAUGCCGCAUAAGAUCUCCGGAUGAAAGCGGGGGACCGUAAGGCCUCGCGCUGAUGGAUGAGCCCAUGUCGGAUUAGCUAGUUGGUGAGGUAAUGGCUCACCAAGGCGACGAUCCGUAGCUGGUCUGAGAGGACGGCCAGCCACACUGGGACUGAGACACGGCCCAGACUCCUACGGGAGGCAGCAGUGGGGAAUAUUGGACAGUGGGGGAAACCCUGAUCCAGCGACGCCGCGUGUGUGAAGAAGGCCUGCGGGUUGUAAAGCACUUUCGGUGGGAACGAAAUAUGCCGGGCUAAUACCCCGGUAGGCUGACGUUACUCAAUGAAGAAGCACCGGCUAACUCUGUGCCAGCGGCCGCGGUAAUACAGAGGGUGCGAGCGUUAAUCGGAAUUACUGGGCGUAAAGCGCACGUAGGUGGCGACGUAAGUCGGGUGUGAAAUCCCUGGGCUCAACCUGGGAACGGCAUUCGAGACUGUGUUGCUGGAGUACGGAAGAGGAGGGCGGAAUUCCCGGUGUAGCGG
RNAcentral lists this ribosomal RNA (622 nucleotides) under uncultured Gammaproteobacteria bacterium. RNAcentral's name for it is "bacterial SSU rRNA". It matches the Rfam family "Bacterial small subunit ribosomal RNA", at positions 66 to 681 of the family's 1533-position model. The record is from RNAcentral. Lineage: Bacteria; Pseudomonadati; Pseudomonadota; Gammaproteobacteria.